UACGGAGGGUGCAAGCGUUAUCCGGAUUCACUGGGUUUAAAGGGUGCGUAGGUGGGUUAGUAAGUCAGUGGUGAAAUCUUCGAGCUUAACUCGGAAACUGCCAUUGAUACUAUUAGUCUUGAAUAUUGUGGAGGUUAGCGGAAUAUGUCAUGUAGCGGUGAAAUGCUUAGAUAUGACAUAGAACACCAAUUGCGAAGGCAGCUGGCUACACAUAUAUUGACACUGAGGCACGAAAGCGUGGGGAUCAAACAGG
This 253-nucleotide ribosomal RNA is filed under the name uncultured bacterium. Its description in RNAcentral is "partial 16S ribosomal RNA". It matches the Rfam family "Bacterial small subunit ribosomal RNA", at positions 524 to 776 of the family's 1533-position model. The record is from RNAcentral.